GAAAAAGACCAAAAAUUUCCCGUCUCGCACGCCGCCGCUCAUCCAGCACAGGGCAUCCCAACCCAAUCCGCUCGCUCAACCCGCACUAUCGCUGGUCUUCGUCGCUCCUCCCGCACACCAACGCCGGAGCGCUUCCCGUCCGCCGCCCUUCCUCCUCUCCUCCUCCUCCGGUUGCGCCCUGCGCCCGCGGCGACCAUGCCUCCACCGUGCCUGCCAUGUGCGCCGCCGCCCGGCCGAAUCCCGCCGCCACCUCAAGGCCAGCGCGGCUGCUAAACGCGCCAUGGCCGCGACUUGGCCCGUGCGUCGCCCCGCCUCACAGCACAUCAUCAUCCUGCACAGCCACCGGUCUUCGACGCUGCCGGUACAGUGUCUUCGUGGGCGCUGGCAUGCGGGCCGGGCACGGUUCCAUUGCUUCCCACACCAGGUCAUUGAGGAGCAAGCCGGCUUGGGCUGGGGGCACCCCGUUCCUCUGCUCUGUGCCUAUAGGCGCGAUUGGGACGCGGGUCGUCCCCCAUUCAGUCACCGCACCUGCCGCCUAGAAUGUCAGGUUGUCGAGCCUCUGUCCGCCGUUGCUCUCCUCUGCUGCCGUCAUCGGUGGCGAGGAGCCCGGUCCCAUUAGUACCAACGUCUUCCCUGUACUCAGACAUUCCGGUUUGGCACAUAUCUUAUCAGGUGAGCACCGCCGCAUUUACUUCACUGCUAAUGACUAAGCGUCUGAAGUUGGAGGUCAUGUAAUCCUGUUGUUCUUCGCUAACGUUUCUUUUGGUGACGCUAACCACGCAGCCCAAUCCUGAACGCCUGUGCAGCACAAUGCUCCAAAUGGCCACACUUUUGUCUUCUCCGUUGCCAAUACGACCAAUGAAUAAACGCUUCUCCUAAAAAGCAAAGCCAAUAAACCCUUCGGCUGCAGGUCAUUGAUGAUUCACACUUCACUUCCUCUCCCCAUGACCUCCACAAGAAACUGAUGGAUUCCCAUUUAAAUUGGGUGCUCCACCUUAUCUCAUUUUAUUCCCAUCGUCCUUCAUACAGGUGGCCGCCUGCCAUCCCAACUCCCUCCCCUGUCCUCCUCGACAUUCCCUAUGACACAUGGCCGAUUGAAUCAUAUUUGGGAUUCCUCGGGUACUGUGGGAAUUGGACGCUCAGACCCCAUCUUUGUUGGAACCGCAGCCCUCUAGCUACCUCUCCUCUCACUUGAAUGGAGGUGGAAGAAGAAGAACAGUGGACACAAGGUUUUCCGGCCGGCGCACGAACGUCCCAAUCCUUUUCUUCUUUACAGUGGCUACAUGGCUACACUCGGCUCCGCUCGAUCAAUACAUCAGGGGGGCCUUUUAUACCCGGCUGCACACACCAGCACACGCACCGUCCGUCACACGCGGCCACUAACAGCACUAACUAAUUAGCUCACGCAUGCACCAACUGCACGCUCACCGCACCAGCCACUACCUACAUGCACGCCUAGAUCCAUCCUCUUCCAACGGCCACAUGACCCGCCAUGCAUGUAGCUAGCCAGCCACGGCUGCGCCACUCAACGCGGCCAGUCCAACUGAUCCCUACAGCCGCUACUACACACACGACUAAACACAGAGCUACGGCCGCGCGCACGACGCAUGCAGUGGCAUGGCUUAUUUCUAACAAUCUUGGUUUCAUUCCCAUCUCCCAUUUCUCAGUUAAUCAAGCCUUUUGCUGUUCAUAGUAGUACAGUUGCAGAUCAUCUCCUCACGGAGUGACGGUGAGGGUGGAUAUGGCUUAUUGUUCUUCUUUCCAGUAACUUUGCAGGUAUAUACUGAAUUCGGCAGAAUUCUCAGUAUCCAAGCCAUGUAAUCACAUCGCCAUGUUGAUAGCUCAGGGUCACGCUGUUCGACGGGUUUGUGACGUCUACAUGGACCACGCCACCGAUCAUGACCACAUAAUCUAAUCCCUCGACCAACUGCAGUUACUGCUACCGAGAAGUGAGAACCGCCGCAGGUAUAUAUGCAACUCAACAGAGAUUUGUUAGGUUCAUGAAGCAACCUAAAAUCUUCAGUUCUGCGGUAUGAUAUAUUCAAUUUCUCGACAACUCAUUUGAUUAUCAUGUUCUUGGUACCAACCAAACAACAUCCUCUCAAUGCUAAUGUUCACUAACUCAACUGCCAAACGAAGAAUCCUCAUCCAAAUUGAACCUUUAUCCGUAUCCGUCAGUUUUUUAUCCCCUUCUUGGUUCCUUGCAGGUUGAGGUACUAUUUUGAAACAAAUGGCAUUUAAAGAUCCAUCUUUAAGGAGCAAUCUUUGAACCCUUAAAUCUCAGGGGGUACUCAACAUUCUGGAAGACAUUUUACUACCAUUCAUUUUUACUACUAUUUUCUUAGUUACAUGUAUAAAACUGAGUAAAUAGCUAAUUGGGGUUUGAACGAAGAAUCAUAUUUUAUUUCAUAUAUUUUUUCAUGUUACUUUGUUCUACUUUAUUAUGCCUUAUGCUGCUGAUAGUCACUAUUUCUUUGUCGCAUGCCUGAACUUAUUAAACACACAUAGUCUCUGUUUCUUUGUCACAAUCAUGGCCACACAUGUGUGCUCUUUAGAAAAUUUCUACUGCAUUCUAACUUCACUUUAGGUAAACUUAUCUGUACAAAUUUCUGCACCAAUGUUUUGGUAUUGUAAUAUUAAUCUUGUCUUUUGUACGACAAUAAACUACGUCGAUUCUACCCUCUAAUAUCAUUUAUUUUGCGAUAGAUCACUAUGAUUUAUUUCUAUACCAAGGGCUACUAUACUGAAUGAUUUAGUUCCUGAUGUUAAUCCUUUUUAUAUGGCCUUUUGACUAUUUCAGAAGCAAUCGGUGCCAGAACUAUUCCAACUUUUGGGCCAUAUUGCUAUCUUCACUCACAUUCCACGUUGUGUUUUCUAACAUCUUAUAUUAGCAAAUGUAAUUAUCAUUUUUAAAUCAUCAUGGCGGUGUGUUCAUGACCUGUUAAUGGUGAUGUAGGUCAUAGCGUCGGGUAUGCUCAAAAUUGCUUUCUUUCCAAUAAAUAAUUAAGGCACUACAUUGCAGUUCAUGAUUGCUAACACCAUUGUUAAUGCUACAACGUUCCACAAUACAUUAUAUAUGUAUACCACAAAUGACCACAUUUGAUUCCAUGUAUGUGAAAUCCAUCAUAUAAUUGAUUCGAGUUGUUAUCAUCUUUGUGAUGUGGAUGUUGCUUGGAAAAAUUACAACAAAGUCCCGCGGCAACAUAUAUAAUGUAAGACGUUUUUUGACACUAUACUAGAGUUAAAAAACGUCUUACAUUAUGGGACCGAGGGAGUAGUUUUUUUCAUAAUGUCACUCCCUCCCUGAGGCAAAUUGUACUGAACUUAUGUUUUUUCCAUGGCCUUUUUGCUGUUCUGAAUCUUCUGUUGUUGAAUCUGAAUCUUAGUAGGAGUAACAUUAUUUUCCUGCCGUCAUUUUCAGUAUUUUAUUUGCAUCUAUCGUUUCAAUGUCCUUUUCUCAUCUUUUUCUAGGAUAUUUUCUUUGUUUUCUUUCAGAAAAGUUAUGUUUACAUAAAAAAUAAAAUCAACGGUUUUUUGAUUCCUUUGUUCACAAACCAUGGAAGGUAACAUGGAGUGGCUGCUUACAUGGGGUAUGGCCGUAUGGAAGGUAACAUGGAGUAUUGUUCACAAACCAUACUUCGAAUCUUCGAUGGUUUCAGUGUGUUUGUUUUCUGUUGCUGCAUUUUACUGCUUCGGCUACCCAGCUCAAAACAGAGAACUAGUAUGGGUAGGGGUGCAACACGGUGCCCGAUCCGCCCCGCCCCGCCCAAUAUUCAAACUUGGAGAAUCUAGUUCUAGUUAAGUUGCAGUGGGUUAGUUUAAUUUGUACUGGACUAUGCGGGACGCCGCGCUGUGGGGAGGGGGUGGUCGUGGUGUUGGAAGUUUAAUUUCCAGGGAAACCCGGCUCGUUAGCAUAGCGGUGGUGCGGGACAAAUCCGGGGUUGAGCGGGCUAGCAAAAGAAAAUUCGAUUGAGGCCACCAAAAUAAUCAGUCGAAGUUUUUCUUUUGCAAACUGAACACAAAACAAAGUUGCACACGCGUCAUUGAAGUAUUGGUCCAAAACUUUGACUGAGAAUUUAUACAUAUUUUUGGGAUUUCUACAUAUGAAAAAAAAAUUCAAAAAAGAAAAACCCGUGCCGGCAGCAUGACAGAGACGAGGAGUAGCCAUGACAUAGCAGAUGAGACACGAGGAUCAAACUGGUGGCUGAGGAAUCCAGAAUGGUUGAGAGGUUGGGAGCGGGAGUGUCAAGAAGUAACGGUGAUGAAGACAGUACACUAAGGUCCUGUUCGGAGACCCGCCACUCCACCACUCCGCUCCCGGAGUUGGAGUCAAAAGGCACGGAGCUGGGAAAGAGAUGCUCCAGCUCCUCGUAUUUUUAGGAGUUGGAGUGACUCCAAACAGGGCCUAAGCAUCGUGUUUAUAUAUAGAAAGUGAAGGGCUUGCUUGAGUAUCUAAGCUAAUUUAGAUCUUUCCUGUUUUGUGCAACGUCCAAAACGUGGGGUCGUGCUUAAAUUUCUCACCUUUACGCGCAAACAUUAGAAGGGGAAAAUGCCGGGUUUAGAGGACUGCAAGGCAGACAUUCUUCUUCCUCCUUUCUCUCUCCUCUCUUCCCCACGUAGAGAGAGAGAGGGAAAGAGAGGAAGGCCGCCCCCUCUUUCCUACCAAGAACCACAUUUCGCCCUCCAAUCUUCGCUGCAGAUUCUAGCACACCUUUUGAUCGGUUUUUCUCCAGUCUCAGUUUGGGCAAUUUGGAGCUUCCUGGGCAAGUUUCCGCGCUGGUAUCCGUCUCGAAUCUACCCCUGGAAAAAAAAUCUAAACAUUCUUGUGCCAAUCUGAAAAGUUCUUGAAAUAAAUUACUUGAGUUUUGAAAGAAAUUUUGGAUGUGGAUAAUUAUGCGCAACAAGUAUGCUUACAUUUCUACUACAAAAAGAAACCUUGACUCUUGAUUGUGAAUUAUAUUUGUGCAACCUUUUGCAAGAUAAAAUGCUUAUUUUUUGUUUCACUAUAACAUUUAGAAUUUUUGUGCUGACAUUUCCAUCUUUUCUAUGUAAAAAUCAGAUAUUUGUCUUCCUUCUGAAACAAAGGUUGCAUCUUUCUUGCAUUGGCACUCCCAAUCCUGCAUCUUUCAACAAGUUGUGUCAUUUGGGUGCCUUGGUGUUGCCGAGACGUACUGUAGGUUUUCUCAAGCUAAAUGUUGCAUAUGAAUUUUGAUGAACAUUGAUCACCAAUGGCUGUGAAAACUGGUGUGAGGUCUCAAGACUUCUCGCAGCGGUUCUGGUACACCUUGUCUCGUGCGAUCUGUGAGCUCUGCGUGAUCAUAUUGCUCCAUGUGGCUGCUACAACGUCAUAUGUGGCCACAAGGUUGGCACACAUCAGCAGGCUAAGGGCGCCAUGCACCAUGUGCUCAAGACUGGACCAAGCCCUCCAUGGAAAGGCAUGGUUCUCCGCUGAUUUGGUGUGUGCUGCCCAUAGGUCCGAGAUAUCAUCUUUGGCAUACUGCAAGAGUCACAACAAUCUUGCACAUUCAGCUGAUCUCUGCAAGAGAUGCCAUGCUGCAUGCACCCUGGCAGGCUUUGUCGAUGAGGUUAAUUCUCGGUCUGGAUCGAGGUCUAGACAGUUAUGUUCUUGUUGUUUGGAGCCAUUCAAGAAGGCGUGCAUCGCACAUAAGCUUUAUGAAACUGCAGAUGUUAAGGGCCCCUCACAUAAUGUGCAUGGUUUGGACGAAAUCAAGCAGAGGAGCCAAGUUGUUGUGAUAGAAAAAAUCAAUCCUGCCAUGCCACCCAAGUUUGUACCUGAACAGGUCUCUACAGAUCAUUCAAAAGUUAAAGUGGGUAUUGAGGAAGUCAGGGAGUCAGAUGCUUCACCAGGCACAUAUGAACAAUCUACAAAGGAUAAUGGUGCUUCUUCAAAUGCUGGUUUGGCAGCAAAGCCUGCACCCAAUGCGUCUUCCCUGCCUUCGCGCAUUUUCGUCGAUCGCAACAACAGUAUUAAGAACACUUUCGUUGGUAGGGUCAAUCUGCCAUCUCCUCGCCCAUCAGAGAUAAUCUCUGCCCGGGAUAACAAUUCUACUACUCAACAAGAAGUGAAGGCACUCCUUACUCAGAUGUCCUCUGUAAGGGGCCUUGACUAUUCUUGGACUGAAGGAGUAAGUAGUACUGAUACCAUGAUUCAGAAUGAUGAAAGCAAUGGUACCAGCAGGAGGCCAUACCUCGAGAGAAAUUACUCUGUGUUGGAAUCAUCGGAUGCAAACCUUGGUAUUUGUGAAGCUGAAGGAGAGAUCUCACUGGAGAGUUUGAAGCGGCAGAUUGAGAUUAACAAGAAGUCAAUGCUUGUCCUUUACAAGGAGCUUGAGGAAGAAAGGAGCGCUUCGGCGAUUGCAGCUAGCCAAGCCAUGGCCAUGAUCAACAGAUUGCAUGAGGAAAAGGCUGCAAUGCAGAUGGAAGCACUACAAUAUCUUAGGAUGAUGGAAGAGCAGGCUGACCAUGACCAUGAAGCGAUACAGAAUCUACACGACUUGCUUACAGAGAGGGAGAAAGAAUUACUUGACAUGGAUGCCGAACUAGAUAGUUGUCGAAGGCUACUCCAGCAUGACCAGUUUAAUGGGGGGAAUUUUGAUGAUACAGUGGACAAUACACCCGGAUAUGACAAGAAUGUGUCAUUUGAUGUCUUGAAUGCAUCGGAUUUCAUGACGAGCACCAUGUCAGGUUUCGAAGAAGAAAAGGCAUACAUUUUGGAAUCACUGGGCAGAUUGGAGGAAAAGCUUCGCAUUUCUACAUACAAGCUUGCUUCUGAUGAUGCCAAAAACAUUCAAGAGACAUUGCUUGGAGAUCAUAUAGGGGAUGAAUCAACUUCUUUUCAGCAAUCAAUUGAGCAGAAGGACAAGGAUGAGUGUUCAUGUUCUCCUUUCGACAACGAAAAAAUAAGUGGCCUAAACAAUCUUCAGGAUGAAAUUUCACUCUUGGAUACACGAUUGAGGGCCCUUGAAGAUGAUCAUGAGUUUCUCAAGCGGGUACUCAGUUCCCUCAAAGGCGAUGGGCUUCAGUGUGUACGAGACAUAAUGAGCCAUUUACAUGAGUUGCGAAGAGUUGCAGCUCAAUGAAGAGAACAUGUUUUGUCUUGAGUUGAGAAGUCUACCAACUCUUCUCAGUUCCAUAGUUGAAACAUUUACACACUCUGAUCUUGCCUUUUCCAGCAGUGCCUCUCGUGUGGAGAUUUACAGCCUGACAACGACAAUGCUUCCAGUUAGUCCCCGAUGUGGCGUUGAUUAUAAAUUGCAGUGCUGGGAACAUCCAAGCUUGUGUAAGAUCAUCCGUUAUUCUAUGAUUCUAAUCUGGCUAACUCUGGAAGGGAGCGCCCACUGACCAAACAUAUCCAUCUCUUGUUUUUACCUCGUUGCUAUUCUUUUUGUUGCCACUACAGCAAAUCACUGAUAUAGAAAAGAGAAAGAAAAACAUCUCUUGUAUUUUGAUCAUCUGAUGGGUGCUCAAAUUAGGAGCAAGCUUGUAAGUGUACAUGUGAUGAAAUGCUUGGGGUUCUUGCCAAAAAAUAUAUUUUAACUAGCAACAUGAUAUUGAUGUUGAUGCCAAAC
This 7589-nucleotide ribosomal RNA is filed under the name Triticum aestivum (bread wheat). RNAcentral's name for it is "partial small subunit ribosomal RNA". Lineage: Eukaryota; Viridiplantae; Streptophyta; Magnoliopsida; Poales; Poaceae. The record is from RNAcentral.